CACGGGUGAGUAACACGUAUCCAACCUGCCGUCUACUCUUGGACAGCCUUCUGUAAGGAAGAUUAAUACAAGAUGGCAUCAUGAGUCCGCAUGUUCACAUGAUUAAAGGUAUUCCGGUAGACGAUGGGGAUGCGUUCCAUUAGAUAGUAGGCGGGGUAACGGCCCACCUAGUCUUCGAUGGAUAGGGGUUCUGAGAGGAAGGUCCCCCACAUUGGAACUGAGACACGGUCCAA
This 233-nucleotide ribosomal RNA is filed under the name uncultured bacterium. Its description in RNAcentral is "partial 16S ribosomal RNA". It matches the Rfam family "Bacterial small subunit ribosomal RNA", at positions 102 to 334 of the family's 1533-position model. The record is from RNAcentral.